GUCUACGGCCAUAUCACCCUGAACACACCCGAUCUUGUCUGAUUUCGGAAGCUAAGCAGGGUCGCGUCUGGUUAGUACUUGGACAAGAGACAUGAUGGGCAAGAAAACCACAGCAGUGAUGCCGUGUUCU
This is a ribosomal RNA of Cercocebus atys (sooty mangabey), 130 nucleotides long. The record is from Ensembl. Lineage: Eukaryota; Metazoa; Chordata; Mammalia; Primates; Cercopithecidae.